RNAcentral lists this ribosomal RNA (486 nucleotides) under uncultured bacterium. RNAcentral's name for it is "partial 16S ribosomal RNA". It matches the Rfam family "Bacterial small subunit ribosomal RNA", at positions 30 to 507 of the family's 1533-position model. The record is from RNAcentral.
AUUGAACGCUGGCGGCAUGCCUUACACAUGCAAGUCGAACGGCAGCACGGGUGCUUGCACCUGGUGGCGAGUGGCGAACGGGUGAGUAAUACAUCGGAACAUGUCCUGUAGUGGGGGAUAGCCCGGCGAAAGCCGGAUUAAUACCGCAUACGAUCUACGGAUGAAAGCGGGGGACCUUCGGGCCUCGCGCUAUAGGGUUGGCCGAUGGCUGAUUAGCUAGUUGGUGGGGUAAAGGCCUACCAAGGCGACGAUCAGUAGCUGGUCUGAGAGGACGACCAGCCACACUGGGACUGAGACACGGCCCAGACUCCUACGGGAGGCAGCAGUGGGGAAUUUUGGACAAUGGGCGAAAGCCUGAUCCAGCAAUGCCGCGUGUGUGAAGAAGGCCUUCGGGUUGUAAAGCACUUUUGUCCGGAAAGAAAUCCUUGGCCCUAAUACGGUCGGGGGAUGACAGUACCGGAAGAAUAAGCACCGGCUAACUACGUG